UGGGGAAUAUUGGACAAUGGGCGAAAGCCUGAUCCAGCAAUGCCGCGUGAGUGAUGAAGGCCUUCGGGUUGUAAAGCUCUGUCGGGAGGGACGAAAAAGCGGAUUAACAAACCGCAUUGACGGUACCUCCAAAGGAAGCACCGGCUAACUCUGUGCCAGCAGCCGCGGUAAUACAGAGGGUGCAAGCGUUGUUCGGAAUUACUGGGCGUAAAGCGCGUGUAGGUGGCGAUGUAAGUCGGGUGUGAAAUCCCUCAGCUUAACUGAGGAAGUGCACUCGAUACUGUGUCGCUUGAGUGUUGGAGGGGAUGGCGGAAUUCCCGGUGUAGAGGUGAAAUUCGUAGAUAUCGGGAGGAACACCUGUGGCGAAGGCGGCCAUCUGGACAACUACUGACACUGAGACGCGAAAGCGUGGGUAGCAAACAG
RNAcentral lists this ribosomal RNA (423 nucleotides) under uncultured bacterium. Its description in RNAcentral is "bacterial SSU rRNA". It matches the Rfam family "Bacterial small subunit ribosomal RNA", at positions 355 to 775 of the family's 1533-position model. The record is from RNAcentral.